AUGAACGCUGGCGGCGUGCCUAAUACAUGCAAGUCGAGCGCACAGACGAGGAGCUUGCUCCUCUGACGUUAGCGGCGGACGGGUGAGUAACACGUGGAUAACCUACCUAUAAGACUGGGAUAACUUCGGGAAACCGGAGCUAAUACCGGAUAAUAUAUUGAACCGCAUGGUUCAAUAGUGAAAGACGGUUUUGCUGUCACUUAUAGAUGGAUCCGCGCCGCAUUAGCUAGUUGGUAAGGUAACGGCUUACCAAGGCAACGAUGCGUAGCCGACCUGAGAGGGUGAUCGGCCACACUGGAACUGAGACACGGUCCAGACUCCUACGGGAGGCAGCAGUAGGGAAUCUUCCGCAAUGGGCGAAAGCCUGACGGAGCAACGCCGCGUGAGUGAUGAAGGUCUUCGGAUCGUAAAACUCUGUUAUUAGGGAAGAACAAAUGUGUAAGUAACUAUGCACGUCUUAACGGUACCUAAUCAGAAAGCCACGGCUAACUACGUG
Molecule: ribosomal RNA, 496 nt
Filed under: uncultured bacterium
Lineage: Bacteria
Description: partial 16S ribosomal RNA
Rfam family: Bacterial small subunit ribosomal RNA
Source: RNAcentral